RNAcentral lists this long non-coding RNA (815 nucleotides) under Nicotiana benthamiana. RNAcentral's name for it is "long non-coding RNA (NBEN_LNC031572)". Lineage: Eukaryota; Viridiplantae; Streptophyta; Magnoliopsida; Solanales; Solanaceae. The record is from RNAcentral.
AUUGCAUAACGUGCUACACACACCCCUUCUUUGAAAUCCUACUAAUCUUUCUCUUUGUCCCAAGUCCCACCAUAGUACUGCAAGAGUCUAACUCUAAUACCACUCUAUCAUGGAUCAAGCUCGACAACCAACAUAUUAUUCGCUUUGGCCUAACCACUAGAGUAACUCAAAACUUUACUACAAACUGAAAAAGCACCUCAAUAUUUGAAUUUACAGUUAAUCGCUUUUCGAAGUCAUUUGUUUGCGAGCUAUUACGCCUACCUUGUUCCAUUAUUCACGGACAAAUAUAUAUCGCAAAAAAAGAGAGAUAACAAAUUACGUACGGGUUAGCUUCUUUCUUUUUGCUUUUCUAGUUGUAUUUUAGUGAGGACUCCCACGAAGCCUCCUUACGAAGUUACCACAACUUUUAGAAAGUGCCAAGUGACACCCCAAUAAGGAGGAACUCUCUUUUAUUGUUAUUUUUUUAAUAGUAAUGUCAGAACUCUUGAAAUGUGCUUCUUGAAUUUUCCGUUCCGCUCACAGUUAUAUAUUGCACAAGGAGUUAGAUACUAGCCAAGUUUUGAAUAACAUGUUUGAUGGGUUUUGCAGUAUUUUAACCUUAAGUUUUGAUGAUCUAACAAAUUUAUUAUUAAAGAAUCAGAUAAGGAAUUUGAUACACUUGAUAUACAAUUCAAAUCAAUAGACUUCAGCUAAUAUGAGUUGCUAUGACUUCAGAAGAUAAAAAAUCAACACAGGCCUGAUUCCCUUGUGUUUUCCUAACAGCAGUACGAAGUCAACUGUUUAUAGCUGAAAAGUGACUAUCAGCACUAUACAGC